This is a long non-coding RNA of Grus americana (Whooping crane), 424 nucleotides long. RefSeq lists it as uncharacterized. The record is from RefSeq and is a predicted model, not a curated record. Lineage: Eukaryota; Metazoa; Chordata; Aves; Gruiformes; Gruidae. The transcript is spliced from 3 exons.
CUGAGUUCCUUGUAAAAACGUACCUGAAAGAUGAAGAUAGCGGUGAAAAACUCAAAUAUUGCUGGUCUGCAAACUCUCCAGCCCUCAAGCAAAUAACUAUCUGUACAGAAACAAAGUAAGGAAAAUGCAACUCAAAGAUGAGGCUUUAGAGCCUGCCAGAAUUUAUGGAGGGAAACAACAUGGUUACAGCCAGGACCUCAGAAAUCAGGUUCAGAUACUCUCAGAGCAUGUCUCCUCCUCACCCUCCAUCACAAGGCAGACCAGCGGCUGGUCCCUCUCCCUAAGCGUACAUCUGCUCCUGCAUCCAUACAUCCACAGAGGAUCUUGUACAGCGCCAGCACACCCUGGAGGAGCAUAACUGAACUGACAUAAAUUAUAUGCAGAGGAACUGGGAGUUUAAUGAAUAGAAGACUCGUGGAAUUCA